This 71-nucleotide transfer RNA is filed under the name Pseudomyrmex concolor. Its description in RNAcentral is "tRNA-Trp". The record is from RNAcentral. Lineage: Eukaryota; Metazoa; Arthropoda; Insecta; Hymenoptera; Formicidae.
AAGAUUUUAAGUUAUUCAAACUAUAAGCCUUCAAAGCUUAAUUAAUAAACUAUAUAAUUUUAUAAAUCUUA